Molecule: long non-coding RNA, 967 nt
Filed under: Hordeum vulgare
Lineage: Eukaryota; Viridiplantae; Streptophyta; Magnoliopsida; Poales; Poaceae
Description: long non-coding RNA (HVUL_LNC016101)
Source: RNAcentral
UCAGCGGUUGGGUUAGAUUGCUAUGUUUGAGGCCACUGUCACAUCUGUUGUGUUUGUAUCAUUGUUAUCUCGUACAAAUCCCAACAUCCAUGGAAUUGAUAGUAGCAGCAGGAAAUAAUACAGAGGUCGUCUACUACUUUGCUGCCAUUGGCAUACUUAGAGAAAAACAAGGAUAUCGUAGUUCUCCACGUGAAGACCAGAGUCAGAUAAGAAGAAAAAAAGGAAGAAGCCACGAUCCGUAAAUGGAUCAACCACGGACUCAACGUUGCCGCGUCCCGCUCGCCUCUCCCAUGCUCGUUGUUCCCACGCUGGCUCCACCUCGCCUGCCUUCGCUGCAGCGCGUCCAAGACACCUCCCACUCCAUGCUAGCGCUGCUCAUGGCCGAUCCGCGUGCCCUGCCUUCGACCUGAAGGCUCCACCCUGCCCCUCGCCGCGCCUCUGCGCGUCUGCUCCAUGUCAGCUCCAUCUUGAUCCGUUGUCGCGCCUUGAGCUGCCAUUGCAUCGGCACCACUUCACCUCGCGGCACCCCGGCCGCCGCCUCCCUUCAAGCCGACUUCCGGCGUCGCCCCUUGACCGUCGCGUUCCAGAACCGCCCCAUCGUGUUGCUUGGCCCUGCAUCACCCGAGCCGUCGUGGUUCCCACCUUCGCGCGUCAUUGCGGCAGGCCGUUCGAGCCGCGUUCGCCAGGCGGCCCCUGCCUCCGCUCGACCAGCUCCACUCCGGGUUUGCUCUGGAUCCAGCUUGCCCCAUUCCCCUGUCGGUUGUCCCUGUAUGACAAUAAAGGGAAAACAGCAGAUGGGGCUAAGACAAAGGAGGAUUUGUAGGAGGAAGAAGGCCAUGUGGUUGCUAAGGCUACACCAUCGUCCUCGUCCAUCCGGAAAACCAGGUGUUAUCCACCCUAUUUGUUUUAUCAAUACACUCUAAAUUAUUUUUUGAGGACAAAACUUUGUUCGCGAUAUUUUUCUGUG